Molecule: ribosomal RNA, 301 nt
Filed under: uncultured bacterium
Lineage: Bacteria
Description: partial 16S ribosomal RNA
Rfam family: Bacterial small subunit ribosomal RNA
Source: RNAcentral
CAGUAGCCACGGGAAUACGAAGGGGGCUAGCGUUGCUCGGAAUUACUGGGCGUAAAGGGAGCGUAGGCGGGUCGUUUAGUCAGAGGUGAAAUCCCGGGGCUCAACCUCGGAACUGCCUUUGAUACUGGCGACCUUGAGUAUGGGAGAGGUAAGUGGAACUCCGAGUGUAGAGGUGAAAUUCGUAGAUAUUCGGAAGAACACCAGUGGCGAAGGCGACUUACUGGCCCAUUACUGACGCUGAGGAGCGAAAGCGUGGGGAGCGAACAGGAUUAGAGACCCCUGUAGUCCCUGUCUCUUAUAA